This 435-nucleotide unclassified non-coding RNA is filed under the name Hevea brasiliensis (rubber tree). The record is from RNAcentral. Lineage: Eukaryota; Viridiplantae; Streptophyta; Magnoliopsida; Malpighiales; Euphorbiaceae.
GCACAGCCAAACACAGCGCCGUCGAGUCUCCAAGAGCAGUUGUCAAGGACUACCUCGCCAAAUAAAAGAGACAUGCAAGACCAAAGCAAGGUCCCCUACAAGAGCCUUCCUAGAAGAAGCAAAAAAGUUGGGCGGUAGAACCAUCAACAACCAAAAAUCACAGAACCCAGGCCUAGGAAACAAGAGAAGUCAUGGAUCAUCACUAAAAAUGGUAGAGGUGGUAGUGAUAGUUUUCUUUGACGUCUCACUCAUGCCUUCCGGGUGACCCUUCGAUGUUUUUUGGAGCCCAACAAGCUGCUGCCGACCAGAGUCUGUCCCUCUCCCCCAUCGGCGAUAAAGCUUAGACCAACAAUCCACAGUCUCCCCUAACCACCUACAACCACUAACACAUCUUGCAAAAAGUCAUUGCACAUCAAACAACAAAAGACAAAAACA